Molecule: long non-coding RNA, 480 nt
Organism: Oncorhynchus tshawytscha (Chinook salmon)
Lineage: Eukaryota; Metazoa; Chordata; Actinopteri; Salmoniformes; Salmonidae
Exons: 2
Source: RefSeq, a predicted model, not a curated record
CUUCAUUCCUCGCUGAAUGAAAGGCUUGUAUGAACCUACCCCAAAACACCAUAUAUAAAGAGCCGCGGCUCACCAAAGCCACACAGACACAGCAUAGGCAUGGACUGCUCAGAUGAAACCGCAACUCACGCCUCGUGGUGUCCGACUGUUCCUGAAGUCCAAACAGCGCAUUGGGCAUGGUCGCUGUCCGAGGUGCUGAAGGAAAGGGCCAAUUGGAUUCCAGACAGUUUUACUUUUUUAUUUCCGGUGGAUAAAUAUAUUUUUUUGUUUCAGAAGGAGAGUACAAUGAAUACAACAAAAUGUAUUUUUUGUUGUUGUUUUGUUUUCAAUAACUGUUUUUCAUUUAUUAAUGGACAAAUAUAAGAGAAUAAAAUCUUACACCGCUAGGAAUAAUGAUGAUGAUCUUGAUAGUUCUAAGGGAAUAACAUUUGCUUUGUUGUAUUGACGUAUGAAUAAUUUAUUAAAGAGCCAUCCACAGAU